RNAcentral lists this unclassified non-coding RNA (1362 nucleotides) under Leishmania donovani. Its description in RNAcentral is "gene:LdHU3.33.0790(CDS-product:d-xylulose_reducta se_putative)". The record is from RNAcentral. Lineage: Eukaryota; Euglenozoa; Kinetoplastea; Trypanosomatida; Trypanosomatidae.
GAAGCAGCCGCUCUUCUCCUUCACCGCAACACUUUUUUUCCCACAGGCUCUCUCGCAACCUACAUACAUUCUCUUCAUCUCUCACUCCCCCCAACCACCGUCCUCCGCGCCGAAAAUGGUCCUCAUGGAGAGCCUCGUGCUGGAGAAGAAGGGUGAGCUGACAAUUCGCGAGGUGGAUGUGUGCGACGAGCUCGGCCCGCACGACUGUCGCGUGAAGAUCCACAGCGUGGGCAUUUGUGGCAGCGACGUGCACUACUACGAGCACGGCCAUAUCGGACCCUUCGUGGUGGAGAAGCCGAUGGUCCUUGGCCACGAGGCGUCCGGCACGGUUGUAGCGGUGGGCGCUGAGGUGAAGAACCUGGAGACAGGCGACCGCGUUGCGCUGGAGCCGGGCAUUCCACGCUGGAACUCUGCGCAGACGCUGAGCGGUCUGUACAACCUGGACCCCGAGCUGACGUUUUUUGCGACACCGCCGGUGCACGGGUGCAUGUCGACGACCAUCAUCCACCCCGCCGCACUGUGCUUCAAGCUGCCUGACAACGUGAGCUAUGAGGAGGGCGCGUUGUGCGAGCCGAUCGCUGUUGGCAUGCAUUCGGCGACGAAGGCCAGCAUCAAGCCAGGCGACGUGGGCCUCGUGAUCGGGUGCGGCACGAUCGGGAUCGUGACGGCGCUGUCCGCGCUUGCGGGCGGGUGCUCUGAGGUGAUCAUCUGCGGCUCGCGCGACGAGCGGCUGGAGAUCGCGCGCCGCUACCCUGGCCUACGCGCAGUGAACACGUCGAGGGAGGGCGAGCUGAAGCGCGCCGUUGCGGAGGCGACGGAGGGCAACGGCUGCGACGUUGUGUUCGAGUGCGGUGGCGCGGCAUCGGCGUUCCCUCUGAUCUACGAGCACGCCGCGCCUGGUGCGACUUGUGUGCUUGUGGGGAUGCCGGUGGAGCCCGUGCCGGUGGACAUUGUGAUGGCGCAGGCGAAGGAGAUCACGUUCCAGACGGCGUUCCGCUACCGCAACGUGUACCCUCGCAUCAUCCGCCUGCUGAGCUCCGGCAAAAUGGACGUGAAGCCGCUGAUCAGCGCCAAGUUCGCGUUCAAGGACAGCGUGAAGGCGUACGAGCGCGCGAUGAACCGAGACCCGAAAGACAUGAAAAUUAUGAUACAGAUGGAGAACUAGUGCACCCGUUGGCUGCGCGGCGCUCGUUGGCGCCGUCCCCCUUCCCUUCCGUCCUUCUAACUAUUCUUAUUCGAACUGCUCUCCUGUGCACUUGCCAGCCUUGGCCUUGUUUGUGCCGCCUCUCUAUUUUUUCCGCUUCCCUUCUCCGUCCUUUUCUCGUGCCUCUUCCCCGCUCUGUCUUCUCCUGCGUUUUGCAG